UGGGGAAUUUUGGACAAUGGGCGAAAGCCUGAUCCAGCAAUGCCGCGUGUGUGAAGAAGGCCUUCGGGUUGUAAAGCACUUUUGUCCGGAAAGAAAUCCUUGGCUCUAAUACAGUCGGGGGAUGACGGUACCGGAAGAAUAAGCACCGGCUAACUACGUGCCAGCAGCCGCGGUAAUACGUAGGGUGCAAGCGUUAAUCGGAAUUACUGGGCGUAAAGCGUGCGCAGGCGGUUCGCUAAGACCGAUGUGAAAUCCCCGGGCUCAACCUGGGAACUGCAUUGGUGACUGGCAGGCUAGAGUAUGGCAGAGGGGGGUAGAAUUCCACGUGUAGCAGUGAAAUGCGUAGAGAUGUGGAGGAAUACCGAUGGCGAAGGCAGCCCCCUGGGCCAAUACUGACGCUCAUGCACGAAAGCGUGGGGAGCAAACAGGAUUAGAUACCCUGGUAGUCCACGCCCUAAACGAUGUCAACUAGUUGUUGGGGAUUCAUUCCUUAGUAACGUAGCUAACGCGUGAAGUUGACCGCCUGGGGAGUACGGUCGCAAGAUUAAAACUCAAAUGAAUUGACGGGGUCAUAGCUG
This 578-nucleotide ribosomal RNA is filed under the name uncultured bacterium. Its description in RNAcentral is "partial 16S ribosomal RNA". It matches the Rfam family "Bacterial small subunit ribosomal RNA", at positions 355 to 932 of the family's 1533-position model. The record is from RNAcentral.